This 616-nucleotide ribosomal RNA is filed under the name Actinomycetales bacterium Se2Ps_2363. Its description in RNAcentral is "bacterial SSU rRNA". It matches the Rfam family "Bacterial small subunit ribosomal RNA", at positions 391 to 1017 of the family's 1533-position model. Lineage: Bacteria; Bacillati; Actinomycetota; Actinomycetes; Actinomycetales. The record is from RNAcentral.
GCGACGCCGCGUGAGGGAUGACGGCCUUCGGGUUGUAAACCUCUUUCAGCAGGGACGAAGCGAAAGUGACGGUACCUGCAGAAGAAGCACCGGCCAACUACGUGCCAGCAGCCGCGGUAAUACGUAGGGUGCGAGCGUUGUCCGGAAUUACUGGGCGUAAAGAGCUCGUAGGCGGUUUGUCGCGUCGUCUGUGAAAACCAGCAGCUCAACUGCUGGCUUGCAGGCGAUACGGGCAGACUUGAGUACUGCAGGGGAGACUGGAAUUCCUGGUGUAGCGGUGAAAUGCGCAGAUAUCAGGAGGAACACCGGUGGCGAAGGCGGGUCUCUGGGCAGUAACUGACGCUGAGGAGCGAAAGCGUGGGUAGCGAACAGGAUUAGAUACCCUGGUAGUCCACGCCGUAAACGGUGGGUACUAGAUGUGGGUUCCUUUCACCGGAACCCGGGCCGAACUUAAGCAAUUAAUACCCCCCCCGGGGAAUUACGGCCGCAGGGUUAAAACUAAAGGAAUAUAACGGGGCCCCCCAAAACCGGCGAACCAGGGGAAUAAUUUCAUGCCACGGCGAAAAACCUUACCGGGUUUGAACUAUUACCGAAAACCCUAAAGAAACCGGCCCCC